Bos taurus (domestic cattle) is the source of this 568-nucleotide long non-coding RNA. The record is from Ensembl. NCBI's taxonomy places the organism in Eukaryota, Metazoa, Chordata, Mammalia, Artiodactyla, Bovidae.
CGUAAAUGGUUAUGUGUUUGGGCUCUGUAGACAAAGGCAUACUUUCAUCCCAACUCUACCACUGUCUGGUCCUAUAAACUGGACAUGCACUUAACCACUGGAAGCCACUGUUUCCUAAUUUUUUUAAUGGGAAUAAUAAUAGUACCUACUUUACAGUGCUAUGAUUAUUAAAUGAAUGAAUGCCACAUGAAAGCAUGUCUUAGCGUGUGUUUUUAAUCCUGAAGAUAUGCUAACUGACUGCACUGUGGUGUUUCAACAGAGCUUCCAUCUUAGGCCAAUCAUUCUGAUACUACCCCCAUUUGGGACUUUAUUGUAAUUUGAAACAACGCCUAAAUCAAAUCCCUUCUGAUUAUACAGUGGAAGUGAGAAAUAGAUUUAAGGGACUAGAUCUGAUAGACAGAGUGCCUGAUGAACUAUGGACGGAGGUUCAUGACAUUGUACAGGAGACAGGGAGCAAGACCAUCCCCAAGAAAAAGAAAUGCAAAAAAGCAAAAUGACUGCCUGAGGAGGCCUUACAGAUAGCUGUGAAAAGAAGAGAAGACAAAAGCAAAGAGAAAAGGAAAGAUAU